GCGGGUGUAGUUUAGUGGUAAAACUACAGCCUUCCAAGCUGUUGUUGCGAGUUCGAUUCUCGUCACCCGCU
This 71-nucleotide transfer RNA is filed under the name Streptococcus suis. RNAcentral describes it as "tRNA-Gly". It matches the Rfam family "tRNA". From Rfam's summary of the family: Transfer RNA (tRNA) molecules are approximately 80 nucleotides in length. The record is from RNAcentral. Lineage: Bacteria; Bacillati; Bacillota; Bacilli; Lactobacillales; Streptococcaceae. RNAcentral also lists the same sequence under 2 other names.